Molecule: long non-coding RNA, 1517 nt
Filed under: Helianthus annuus (common sunflower)
Lineage: Eukaryota; Viridiplantae; Streptophyta; Magnoliopsida; Asterales; Asteraceae
Source: RNAcentral
AAAGAUCUGGUGUCGCUGUCGUCGCUUGAUGUGACAGUAGAAAAGAUCAAACGGCUGGUGAUGAAGGUCGUUGAGAAACAUAUCAUUUUCAACAAGUUGAUUUAGCAAAACACGGUAAGAGCAAUGGUCUGGUACUCCGGCCAAACUGGUGACGCUCUGAUUAUAUCACUCGGGCUAAUAAAGAUGGUAAUGAAGUAAGAAGUAUUAGUCUGACUCUAGGGUUCCGAUUAAGUUCCGCUAGCUUAGACUUGAUUCCGGGAAAGUACUAUAUGUUGUAUUUCUACGAAGAAGGUAAAUUACUCAAAUAAGUUUUUGUAUGACUUUACUGAUGAGAACAUGACUUAUGUGUGCUUGAUGUUGUUAGUUACUUUUUUUAUAUAUACACAUAAAAUAAGUUAAACUAAUACUUCUUACUAUUAAAAGAUAAAAAUGCAGCUGCAUAUGUGGUUAAAAGAGGGAUACAAUUCAGCUACAAAUGUGACAAUAAAAGAGUCCCAAAUACAGCUGAAAAUGUGCUAAACAGUAGAUAAAAAAUAGCUGCAAAUAUAAUAAAAAGAGGCUCAAAACAUGGUUGAAAAUGUGCUAAAACAGAGAUAAAAAGUAGCUGCAAAAGUGAUAAAAGAGGAUCUAAAAAACGUUGGGAGUAAACGUUUUCAUUUACAGCUGCUUAAACAAGCCGAAAAUUCUAUGGUCGACAUAUUGAAGCUUGCUGUUAUUUCCUCAGUAUACAUUCCAAUAUAGCCUGCAUCACCUAUAAGAUCUGAAUAUGAUGUAAAGCAUGGUGGCAAUCAAAGCAACUUAUAUAUUGAAAGAUUGAAGCCCGAUUGAUCUAAGCAUCUUUUGAUUGUAAUUUAAAUUUUUCUACCCGGGUAUCUUUUGAUCUAAGCAUCUUAUGCCGUUCAUUCUCUCUCUGCGAAAGUGCAAAACCGCCAUCGGUCACAUCCCUAAUCAGACUCGAACGUCGAGUAAUCGCCUUUUUAGCCUAAUCGGACUCCAAUUGUCUUCCUCUGUUGGCCAUCGUCGUUGUCAUAUAUUUGCAGUUGCCGCUUAUCGGCUCCGUCUUUACAGGUGAAAUACAAAACUUUUGUUUUAGAGAUCAAAGGCUCAGUACCUUCUUUUUUGCACUUGGUUGCACACAAGUUGCUCGAUAAAAUGCUUGAAUGAAGUUUUAUUCUCACAUUGGUUACAUUCAAGUGGAUGCCACCAUAAGGGUCGCAACGGAUCAGGCAUGUGGAGAUUCAACAGAAGAUUUAACGUGCACAACAUUAAUGGUUUCUGAAAUUGGUUUGAUAAAGUUGUUCUAGAUCAGAUUGCUGUGCCAACAAAAACAGAAGUUCUAUGUACAAAAAGCUUGCACGUCAUGCUUAUGAAAUUGUUGGGCGGAUCAGUGGAAGACGGUCGGGCAAUCAGUCGAUGGUUAGUGGUGAAGAACUAACUAAAGGGGAUCGGAUCAUGUUUCUUCCCUGUGGUCUUGCUGCAGGGUCAUCUAUAACAGUGUUUAAAGUUGAGUUGCAGGG